This 253-nucleotide ribosomal RNA is filed under the name uncultured bacterium. Its description in RNAcentral is "partial 16S ribosomal RNA". It matches the Rfam family "Bacterial small subunit ribosomal RNA", at positions 524 to 776 of the family's 1533-position model. The record is from RNAcentral.
UACGUAGGGUGCAAGCGUUGUCCGGAAUUAUUGGGCGUAAAGAGCUCGUAGGCGGUUUGUCGCGUCUGCUGUGAAAACUCGGGGCUUAGCCCCGGGCCUGCAGUGGGUACGGGCAGACUAGAGUGCGGUAGGGGAGACUGGAAUUCCUGGUGUAGCGGUGAAAUGCGCAGAUAUCAGGAGGAACACCGGUGGCGAAGGCGGGUCUCUGGGCCGUAACUGACGCUGAGGAGCGAAAGCAUGGGGAGCGAACAGG